Molecule: ribosomal RNA, 490 nt
Filed under: uncultured bacterium
Lineage: Bacteria
Description: partial 16S ribosomal RNA
Rfam family: Bacterial small subunit ribosomal RNA
Source: RNAcentral
AUUGAACGCUGGCGGCAGGCCUAACACAUGCAAGUCGAAUGGUAACAGGAAACAGCUUGCUGUUUCGCUGACGAGUGGCGGACGGGUGAGUAAUGUCUGGGAAACUGCCUGAUGGAGGGGGAUAACUACUGGAAACGGUAGCUAAUACCGCAUAACGUCGCAAGACCAAAGAGGGGGACCUUCGGGCCUCUUGCCAUCAGAUGUGCCCAGAUGGGAUUAGCUAGUAGGUGGGGUAACGGCUCACCUAGGCGACGAUCCCUAGCUGGUCUGAGAGGAUGACCAGCCACACUGGAACUGAGACACGGUCCAGACUCCUACGGGAGGCAGAAGUGGGGAAUAUUGCACAAUGGGCGCAAGCCUGAUGCAGCCAUGCCGCGUGUAUGAAGAAGGCCUUCGGGUUGUAAAGUACUUUCAGCGGGGAGGAAGGGAGUAAAGUUAAUACCUUUGCUCAUUGACGUUACCCGCAGAAGAAGCACCGGCUAACUCCGUG